Molecule: long non-coding RNA, 123 nt
Organism: Aethalodelphis obliquidens (Pacific white-sided dolphin)
Lineage: Eukaryota; Metazoa; Chordata; Mammalia; Artiodactyla; Delphinidae
Exons: 3
Source: RefSeq, a predicted model, not a curated record
CCGUCUGUGACAGUGGACAGUGAAAAGCAGAAGCAGCACUCUCCCCGCAGUGGUUCUCACAUGCAUGCCGGGAGCUGAUCCGUGUUUUCGUGAUUUCUUCCAGCAGCGUGCAAAAUUUAAGGG